GAUAAGAUUUCCAGUUUGAAAGUGAAGAAAAUGAAUCAUUAUUAACAGCAAUUAGUAGUUUUUCAGCUGAGAAGCCAGGUGAAACUAUAAGGACACUAUGAUUUACUUUCAUAUUAUCAUUCUUUUAUAGAUGAGGAGCAACCAGUAAGAAAAAGCAAAAAGAUGUUUUGAUGUUGCCUGAGGCACCUUAUUCACAUCAGUCAAUUUCUUCCAAUAAUGAAUCAAGAAAUCCUGGAGUGGAGAAUCAUUCUGAAAGUAGACCAAAUACAGGACAACACCACAGCAGUGGUUGGAAAAAUGCAGCAGACAAUGAGCAAACCAAGCUGACUUUCAAAAGAUGAUUCGUUAUCUGUUUCUUCAAAGGGGAGGCAGUUUGGGAGAUGGGAAAUAGGAGGAUGCUACAGCUACACAGGGCGAAUUUCAGCAGCUCAGUUUCACACUUGCAACUAACAAUGAAUUAUAGUUAGAAGACAACGGAAAUAUUUGACAUGGGAGUCCAGCAGACAGCCAGAGACACGCACACACACGGAGCUGAAGCGCGUUUGACUGACGCGUACGGGAGAUCAGGCACGCGCACGGGAGCUCGCUCGCGCACGCACACACAAACACGGAGCACAGGAAAAUUACAACUGUUCAAUUAAAAUAAAAGAACUUUGUGGUAAACAAUGUUUAGCGUGUCUGAUUUCAUUGGUUGUAAUGAAAUAAAACGAUGUGCUGAGGACUUUAGGCGAACGUCCCCUAAAAGUCCCGAAAGUCC
Molecule: long non-coding RNA, 757 nt
Organism: Paramisgurnus dabryanus
Lineage: Eukaryota; Metazoa; Chordata; Actinopteri; Cypriniformes; Cobitidae
Source: RefSeq, a predicted model, not a curated record